This is a non-coding RNA of Pangasianodon gigas (Mekong giant catfish), 70 nucleotides long. The record is from the annotation of a GenBank genome assembly. NCBI's taxonomy places the organism in Eukaryota, Metazoa, Chordata, Actinopteri, Siluriformes, Pangasiidae.
GUUGUGGUGGCUCAGUGGUUAAGGCUUUGAUUCAUACAUCAGAAGUUUGUGUGUUCAAAUCCCAGCACCG